GUCUUUUACAAUCAUUUCAAAGUCAGAAGAAUGAUGAAGAAUUCUGUUGUAAGGAAUGCCAGCUACAGAAGGCUAAGAGAAGGAAAACCACAUCAGACACGGCGUACUUGGAGAAGCACCGAGGCAGGAACCCACAAACACGUACGCUUGGCUGCUAAGGCAAGAGCCAUCAAUGUCAUGGAAGAUGGAGUUCUUAUCGCCGUCCAGCUCACAAUCCUCAAACCAGGGGCCAGGCUUUCCAAAGAAGACGUUCAGAGAGACCUGGCAAUGGAGAAGACCAGAACCAUUACAGAAUGAGGCUCCUACAGGCUCACAUAGCACCUGCCACAGAGCCCCAGGGUUGUACUACAGCUUUCCUGCUGAGGCACGGAAGUUACACGUCAUGAUGUCAACCAUGGUAGCUGAUCUGAGCGCUACAAAGCGACACCCUUGAGCAAAAAACAUUUCUAAAGCCCAACUGGGCAGCAUUAAACUACAACUUCAUUUUUAUAUUAAUAUAUUUAUAUUCUUUUUUUCUUUCCACUAAAUGAUAAGCUGGGGGAGGAGUAAAGCAGAACCAGCCAUAGUGUUUGGAAAACUAUUAUUAUUAACUCCAUAUGCAGCCGGGCUUGGACGCACACACCUAUUAAUCCCAGCACUUGUCAGGCAGAGGCAGGCAAAUCUCUGUGAGUUCUAGGCCAGCCUGGUCUAGGAACCAAAUUCCAGGAUGGCCAGGGCUUACAUACACAAAAACCCUGUCUCAAAAAAAUGAAAUAAAUAAAUAAAACCCACAUGUAAGAUUCUGUGCGUUUCCCUGUAUGCACAUCAAACCUGAACUAAAUAAAAAUCUAUUCAAAC
RNAcentral lists this long non-coding RNA (837 nucleotides) under Mus musculus (house mouse). RNAcentral describes it as "predicted gene, 50130". The record is from RNAcentral. Lineage: Eukaryota; Metazoa; Chordata; Mammalia; Rodentia; Muridae.